This 3714-nucleotide ribosomal RNA is filed under the name Phorticium clevei. RNAcentral describes it as "eukaryotic LSU rRNA". The stretch from base 1 to 1679 matches the Rfam family "Eukaryotic small subunit ribosomal RNA". The record is from RNAcentral. Lineage: Eukaryota; Polycystinea; Spumellaria; Pyloniidae.
GAUGGUUCUUACUACUGGAUACCUGUAGUAAUUCUAGAGCUAAUACAUGUUUACCGAGCGACUCACGAAGUUCAGUAUUUAUUAGAUUAAACCCAGCCGCUUUUGCACAACUGGUGAAUCAUGAUAACUUAUCGGAUCGUCGACAGCAAGUCAGCGACGUGUCAUUCAAAUUUCUGCCCUAUCAUGCUUACGAUGGUAGGAUAUAGGCCUACCAUGGCGGUGACGGGUAACGGAGAAUUAGGGUUCGAUUCCGGAGAGGGAGCCUGAGAAACGGCUACCACUUCCAAGGAAGGCAGCAGGCGCGCAAAUUACCCAAUCCGGAUUCCGGGAGGUAGUGACAAGAAAUAACAAUAGUUCGGCUUUUGUCAAACUAAUUGGAAUGAGUACAAUUUAAACCUCUUAACGAGAAACAAUUGGAGGGCAAGUCUGGUGCCAGCAGCCGCGGUAAUUCCAGCUCCAAUAGCGUAUACUAAAGUUGUUGCAGUUAAAAAGCUCGUAGUUGGAUUUCUGUGUGAGAGGGACGGGAAGGCGCAAGCGUUUUUUCUGACCUUUUGCACAUCCUGUCGCAAAUCACGGUGCUCUUUACUGUAGUGUCGUUGAGGAUCGACUCGUUUACUUUGAGAAAAAUAGAGUGUUCAAAGCAGGGUAUGCCUCUGAAUAAGUUAGCAUGGAAUAAUGAUAAAGGACUUCGGUUCAUUUUGUUGGUGUUUGGGACUGAAGUAAUGAUUGAUAGGGACAGUUGGGGGCAUCAGUAUUCAAAAGCGAGAGGUGAAAUUCUUAGACCUUUGAAGACUAACCGCUGCGAAAGCGUUUGCCAAGGAUGUUCCCUUUGAUCAAGAAUUAAAGUUUGGGGAUCGAAGACGAUCAGAUACCGUCGUAGUCUGAACUAUAAACUAUACCAGCUAGGGAUCGGCCGGCGUAAUAUUUAAGGACUCGGUCGGCACCUUAUGAGAAAUUAAAGCAUUUGGGUUCCGGGGGGAGUAUGAUCGCAAGGCUGAAACUUAAAGGAAUUGACGGAAGGGCACCACCAGGUGUGGAGCCUGUGGCUUAAUUUGACUCAACACGGGAAAACUUACCAGGUCCAGACAUAGUAAGGAUUGACAGAUGAGAGCUCUUUCUUGAUUCUAUGGGUGGUGGUGCAUGGCCGUUCUUAGUUGGUGGAGUGAUUUGUCUGGUUAAUUCCGUUAACGAACGAGACCCCAGCCUGCUAAAUAGCUGACGUAAGGUUUUCCUUGCGAUGAGCUUCUUAGAGGGACCAUAGACUCGUCUACAGACUAGGGAAGUUUGAGGCAAUAACAGGUCUGUGAUGCCCUUAGAUGUUCUGGGCCGCACACGGGCUACACUGACGCCUGCAACGAGCAUAUCAGCUGAUCCGAAAGGAUCUUUGGCUAAUCUUUUGAACUUGCGUCGUGCUAGGGAUUGACUAUUGCAAUUGUUAGUCAUGCAACGAGGAAUACCUUGUAAACGCGAGUCAUCAACUCGCAUUGAAUACGUCCCUGCCCUUUGUACACACCGCCCGUCGCUUCUACCGAUUGAAUAUUCCCAUGAAAUCUUCGGAGGAGUCCGAUGAGUUGGGCUUGCCCAAGGAAUCGGCUUCCAAAGUCGUUUAAAUCGGAACAUUUAGAGGAAGGAGAAGUCGUAACAAGGUUUCCGUAGGUGAACCUGCGGAAGGAUCAAUGACACAAGCGCACAAGCGCCCACAACUUUACCCCGUGUAUGGUAUCCCCGGGGCGUUUUUUAACCGAAACCUCCGGGGCUCGAAGACCCUUUUUUUUUACCCCCCACGCAACCAACCUACCGCGAGUUGACUGACGGAAGCGGUCCUGCCCCUCUCGGGGGAACGGGCCCUACCACCAAAACAACUUAUAUUUUUUUCAAACCUGAGGAAAAUAUCUUUCAACGAUGGAUCUCUUGGUUCCCGCAACGAUGAAGAACGCCGCGAAACGCGAUAUGUAAUAUGAAUUGCAGGAUUAAGCGAAUCAUCAAAUCUUUGAACGCAAAUUGCGCUUGGCCCUCGUGGCUGAGUAUACCUGGUUCAGCUUCGUUUUGCACUAGCAACCCGCCAUGCAAUGGCCCGGGUGAUGUGGAGGAGAGUUGGGCGUUGUGCCGCUUCCCGCGGCCCAUCGCUUUGAGUUCCUAUUCMUAGGGGCUGUCGCGUCGUCCGGUCUUUGACUGUCCGAUGCGCCAAGGUAAUUUCUACUGCGGCGCGCACAAGUUGGACCUUCUAGCCAGGCCCGCUGACGGCUUUUAACCUUUUUGGUAAACUUUUUAGCUUGAACUGAACUCAGGGAAGAAGACCCGCUGAAUUUAAACAUAUUACUAAGCGGAGGAAAAGAAACUAACCAGGAUUCCCCCUAGUAACGGCGAGUGAAGUGGGACCAGCUCAAUAUGUAAAGCUGCCGCCUUUGGCGGUCGCAUUGUAACCUUGCACUGGUUCAAUUCGAGGAAGACGGGUGCAAUUCGUCGUUGAGAUAGCGAAUCGCAGAGGGUAACAAUCCCGUGCUGUCCGAUCCUUCCUCAAGAAGGGAACCGUGCCGUGAGUCGUGUUGCUUGGGACUGCAGCGCUAAUCGGGAGGUAAUGUCCUUCUAAGGCUAAAUAUUUGCGGGAGACCGAUAACGAACAAGUACCGUGAGGGAAAGAUGAAAAGAACUUUGGAAAGAAAGUGAAAGAGUACGUGAAAUUGUUGGAAGCAAGCGAAUCAGUCUGACCCGGCGUUGGGGAUUUUUCUCCGCGCCGACGCAGAAUCGUCUCGGGCCCCGCCAAUCGGCAUGCCACUGGUUUCGGCCACGGCGUCUGUCGGGCGGGCCCUGGGUUGAGGAACGCGCCGCGACUUGUACCAUUCGGUGCCUCGUGGCCAUGAUUCUGCCAAAUGGACUGAUCCGACCCGUCUUGAAACACGGACCAAGGAGUCUGCCAUGUAUGCAAGUAUUAGGGUGAAAAACCCCGAUGCGAAGAGAAAUCGAGAUUGUCUGAUCCCUUCUGGGGAGCACGACAGGCAGAGCGUUGUAAUUUCUGUUCAGUGCCUAGCAGGAGCAUUCAUGCCGGGACCCGAAAGAUGGUGAACUAUGCUUAUGCAGGGUGAAUUCGGGGGAAACCCCGAUGGAAGCUCGAAGCGAUACUGACGUGCAAAUCGUUCGUCUGACAUGAGUAUAGGGGCGAAAGACUAAUCGAACCAUCUAGUAGCUGGUUCCCUCCGAAGUUUCCCCCAGGAUAGCUGGAAUUCACUGUGAGUUUUAUCAGGUAAAGCGAAUGAUUAGAGGUAUUGGGUCAGAAACUGACACGUCCUAUUCUCAAACUUUAAAUGGGUAAGAGGCAAGGGUUGCUUAAUUGAACUUUUGCGUUGAAUCAGGGUUCUUAGUGGGCCAUUUUUGGUAAGCAGAACUGGCGAUGUGGGAUGCACCAGACGCUUGGUUAAGGGACCUAAGUACUCGCUCAUUCAGAUACCACAAAGGGUGUUGAUUCAUUCAGACAGCAGGACGGUGGUCAUGGAAGUCGAAAUUCGCUAAGGAGUGUGUAACAACUCACCUGCCGAAUGAAUUAGCCCCGAAAAUGGAUGGCGCUCAAGCGAGUCCCCGAAAACGGGCCAUCAGGGUAGAUGCGAAGCCUUGAUGAGUAGGAGGGCGCAGCGGUUGCAGCGAAGGCGCGGGCGCGAGCCCCGCUUUGAGCGGCCGUUGGUGCAGAUCUUGGUGUUAGUAGCAAAUAUUCAAAUGAAA